AGUAAAAGUCGUAACAAGGUUUCCGUAGGUGAACCUGCGGAAGGAUCAUUAACGAAUAACUAUGGUGUCUUGGUUGUAGCUGGCUCCUCGGAGCAAUGUGCACGCCCGCCAUUUUUAUCUUUCCACCUGUGCACCGACUGUAGGUCUGGAUGACUCUCGUACUCCGGUGCGGAUGCGAGGAUUGCUCUCGGGCUCUCCUCGAAUUUCCAGACUCUACGCCUUUUUACACACCCCAAACGUAUGAUACAGAAUGUAGUCAAUGGGCUUGAUCGCCUAUAAAACACUAUACAACUUUCAGCAACGGAUCUCUUGGCUCUCGCAUCGAUGAAGAACGCAGCGAAAUGCGAUAAGUAAUGUGAAUUGCAGAAUUCAGUGAAUCAUCGAAUCUUUGAACGCACCUUGCGCUCCUUGGUAUUCCGAAGAGCAUGCCUGUUUGAGUGUCAUUAAAUUCUCAACCUCACCCGUUUUCUGAACGGUACCCGAGGCUUGGAUGUGGGGGUUUGUGCAGGCUGCCUCAGCGCAGGUCUGCUCCCCUGAAAUGCAUUAGCGAGUUCAUACUGAACCUCCGUCUAUUGGUGUGAUAAUUAUCUACGCCGUGGACUGGGUUUAGACUCGCUUCUAACCGUCCGCAAGGACAAUACCUUUGACAAUUUGACCUCAAAUCAGGUAGGACUACCCGCUGAACUUAAGCAUAUCAAUAAGCGGAGGA
RNAcentral lists this ribosomal RNA (709 nucleotides) under uncultured fungus. RNAcentral's name for it is "eukaryotic LSU rRNA". The stretch from base 290 to 443 matches the Rfam family "5.8S ribosomal RNA". Lineage: Eukaryota; Fungi. The record is from RNAcentral.